Molecule: long non-coding RNA, 509 nt
Filed under: Oncorhynchus mykiss (rainbow trout)
Lineage: Eukaryota; Metazoa; Chordata; Actinopteri; Salmoniformes; Salmonidae
Description: lncRNA (ENSOMYG00000058855.1)
Source: RNAcentral
GCUCCGUAUCAUAACAGAUGGGGUCGACCAUUCAUUCAUAGAUUACAAAGCUGAAUUGAACCAGAAGCUGCUGUUUUUUUUCCUUCUUCCCAGUUGUCUGGUUUCUAUCAAUAGUGAAGGAGGCAGUUGAGGGGAAUCUCUUAAGGGACUUCAGUACCAAGUAACCUCCUCCAUUUUGAUAUUCUCUUCCAGUCUGCCUAAUUGAUUUGAUUCUAAGAAGAGGGGCUGUGUGUUUAUACCCAGGUCUUUUAUUGAUUUGAUUCUAAGACGGGGCUGUGUGUUUAUACCCAGGUCUUUUAUUGAUUUGAUUCUAAGGGCUGUGUGUUUAUACCCAGGUCUUCUAUUGAUUUGAUUCUAAGACGGGGCUGUGUGUUUAUACCCAGGUCUUUAAUUGAUUUGAUUCUAAGACGGGGCUGUGUGUUUAUACCCAGGUCUUUAAUUGAUUUGAUUCUAAGAAGAGGGGCUGUGUGUUUAUACCCAGGUCUUUUAUUGAUUUGAUUCUAAGGGUU